CACACAGACAAACCUGUCAGCUAUAUAAUCCUCAUGAGAAUGACACAUGCCUGCCCCUGUUUUAUGACCAACACAUGUAUACUUCAUGCUGCUAUACCAGACACUUCCCUCCAUCACAUUUGUGCACUACUGAAUACUGUAAAUCACUGCGCCUCUGUCUCUGCUGAGGUCUAUACAACAUAGAACAGCAAUUGAUCAGUUGUUGAUAAUGCUAUUGAUGAGGUAUUGCUUUUGGAAUAAAAUGAUCAUAUUCUUAAUUUUCUAAAUGUGGACUUGUUCACAAAUACUCCCCUUUGUAAGUGCUAACAGCUUCAGCAAUGGCUUAAGUCGAGAAAGUAUUUUGGACAAACAGUGCCCUCUAGUGUGUAUUAAGAGCUCUUGCAUGGGAACAAUUUUACUCUGGGAGAGCUGUGAGAAUUCAUCAUGGAAUCCUGCCUUACAACAAUAACAAAAAAUUAGUUAAAACAAUAAACUCCUUCUUUAUUGUCACAAAUAAUAAGCUAUCACUUUCUCAUAAUGUGCUUGGUAAAGUUUUGUCUCUAUCAAAAAAAAGAUGUGAAAUGUGAUUUCAUUUAUAUAUUAACAAAAAUUAUUUGGGGGGUACAAAAGUGUUUUUUUUCCACUUUGUUGUCUAAAGUUCUAAUGCCAAAGGUAUAAUAAAACCAUUUAUGACUUUUAAACUAAAUUGGUAGGAACAUGAACACACUUAUGAAAUUACCUAACUGAAGACUAUUUUUGACUUAUUGAGUAAUCAACAUAUUUUAUCAUAUAUUGACAACAUAUUUUAUGAUAUGAGUUAACAACAACUGUUUAACAUUUACAAACAGUGAGUCUUUUAAAACUUUGUAAGUGUACGUUGGAUAAUUUUUGUCUUGAAGACUAGUCCCAUAAUGUUCUGGAAUGUUCUAGACUAUUAUAGACUGUUACAGGAAUUUAUAGAAUGUUCUAAAAACAUUCAAGGCAAUAUUAAUAUUCUGAAGUAACUGUGAACAUCUUCCAAACUUUAACAACCAGAAAGUGCUAAAACAAUUUGCCAUACAUGUAUGUGUUUUUAUUUAGUAAUAUGUUUGCAACUUGGCAGAUUGUAACACGUGGGCUUCUCUUAAUAAAUUUAAAGAUAUCUUUCUCAAAUGAUCUGAAUUAACAGCAAAGUCACUUGGCAACUAUAAAUGUUUUUAUAUUAAAGCAUAGAGGACAUAUUUGUGUGCUAUGGAGAACAUUUUUACAAUUGCUAAUUUUCCUAAGUAUAAAGUCAAUAAAUGAGCUAAACAGUAUUUACAGAUCGUUCACGUAAGCUUGAGUUCCGGUGCUUUUGUUCCCUCUGAAGCUGCGACAGCUAUGCGCAUUAAAUAAUCGCCUGUACCAUGUGACCUCAUUCAAUGUUUGUAAACACGCGUCAAGCACAUGUGAUCCAGAAGUGUUUAGGAACGUGUAAAGCGCGGUGGCCAAUCAGUCGCCGGGGGAGUGUCUGGGGGCGGGGCUUGAAUAUUUCGCCCUGGAAAAAUCGAUAGGGAUCUUGUAAUGAUGCGAGGAGACUACGUCUAAAGAAAGGAAAGUGAGGAGUUAGGUCAGAUUGAAACAAGUGAAGAGUGCAGGCAUCCGUGGAAUGCAGAUUAUUUAGAAGAAAUAUUAUAUUGGAAAGCAAUCGGUUUGAAUGUACCCACAGCCUCGAUAAAGAUGCCUUUCCCUUUAAGAGCUGGAUCAGCAUUGCACAAGCUGUCAGGUGCACAGAAGCAGCAAACCAAGAAUAAACUGAUGUUAGAGUGAAACAAGAAACUUGUAAACAAAUAUUCUCCCCUCCCUCUUGGUCACUCCCUGUACUUUUCUUUUGUAUUUAUUCUAUUGACUCAGGUCUACAGUAGCUAGGUCUAUACCUCUACUCUCGUAUAUACGCAGCAGUGGCAAGGAAAACAAAAACGAAACUAUGGAUCAGUACAAACUGUACUGACAGAAUGGGGUUUAAAUGUAUGCACUGUAGCAUAUUUAAUAUUUGCCUGUUUUGAACUGUGUUUUUCCAGUGCCAUCUCCUCUUGUGCUGCUCCUAGAAGCUGAAUUCAGAUGGUGCCAUAGAGUACUUUAUGGCAUCUAGCACCAUUUGAAAUCAGUGUUCUUGGGUCGGUCUUGACAUCACAUGGGACACCUAAAUGGUGUUGACUGCAGUGUUUGUGAUCAAUGUCUUUGCAUGUCUGAUUUGCACAAGUUUCAUGAAUGAAAUAAAACAAAUUUAUUCUUCUGCUACAA
This is a long non-coding RNA of Carassius gibelio (silver crucian carp), 2241 nucleotides long. RefSeq lists it as uncharacterized. NCBI's taxonomy places the organism in Eukaryota, Metazoa, Chordata, Actinopteri, Cypriniformes, Cyprinidae. The transcript is spliced from 2 exons. The record is from RefSeq and is a predicted model, not a curated record.